CGGCAUGUUCUAAAUAUAAGCAAUUAUACAGCGAAACUGCGAAUGGUCAUUAUAUAAGUUAUCGUUUAUUUGAUAGUACCUUACUACUUGGAUAACCGUGGUAAUUCUAGAGCUAAUACAUGCUAAAAAUCCCGACUUCGGAAGGGAUGUAUUUAUUAGAUUAAAAACCAAUGCCCUUCGGGGCUCACUGGUGAUUCAUGAUAACUCCUCGAAUCGCAUGGCCUUGUGCCGGCGAUGGUUCAUUCAAAUUUCUUCCCUAUCAACUUUCGAUGUUUGGGUAUUGGCCAAACAUGGUUGCAACGGGUAACGGAGGGUUAGGGCUCGACCCCGGAGAAGGAGCCUGAGAAACGGCUACUACAUCCAAGGAAGGCAGCAGGCGCGCAAAUUACCCAAUCCCGACACGGGGAGGUAGUGACAAUAAAUACUGAUACAGGGCUCUUUUGGGUCUUGUAAUUGGAAUGAGUACAAUUUAAAUCCCUUAACGAGGAACAAUUGGAGGGCAAGUCUGGUGCCAGCAGCCGCGGUAAUUCCAGCUCCAAUAGCGUAUAUUAAAGUUGUUGUGGUUAAAAAGCUCGUAGUUGAACCUUGGGCCUGGCUGGCCGGUCCGCCUCACCGCGUGUACUGGUCCGGCCGGGCCUUUCCCUCUGUGGAACCCCAUGCCCUUCACUGGGUGUGGCGGGGAAACAGGACUUUUACUGUGAAAAAAUUAGAGUGCUCCAGGCAGGCCUAUGCUCGAAUACAUUAGCAUGGAAUAAUAGAAUAGGACGUGUGGUUCUAUUUUGUUGGUUUCUAGGACCGCCGUAAUGAUUAAUAGGGACAGUCGGGGGCAUCAGUAUUCAAUUGUCAGAGGUGAAAUUCUUGGAUUUAUUGAAGACUAACUACUGCGAAAGCAUUUGCCAAGGAUGUUUUCAUUAAUCAGGAACGAAAGUUAGGGGAUCGAAGACGAUCAGAUACCGUCGUAGUCUUAACCAUAAACUAUGCCGACUAGGGAUCGGACGGUGUUAUUUUUUGACCCGUUCGGCACCUUACGAGAAAUCAAAGUGCUUGGGCUCCAGGGGGAGGAAUGGCAAAG
This 1072-nucleotide ribosomal RNA is filed under the name Fusarium sp. zzz1124. RNAcentral describes it as "SSU rRNA". It matches the Rfam family "Eukaryotic small subunit ribosomal RNA", at positions 51 to 1136 of the family's 1831-position model. Lineage: Eukaryota; Fungi; Ascomycota; Sordariomycetes; Hypocreales; Nectriaceae. The record is from RNAcentral.